RNAcentral lists this ribosomal RNA (943 nucleotides) under Sporisorium scitamineum. RNAcentral's name for it is "LSU rRNA". It matches the Rfam family "Eukaryotic large subunit ribosomal RNA", at positions 38 to 963 of the family's 3401-position model. The record is from RNAcentral. Lineage: Eukaryota; Fungi; Basidiomycota; Ustilaginomycetes; Ustilaginales; Ustilaginaceae.
GCAUAUCAAUAAGCGGAGGAAAAGAAACUAACAAGGAUUCCCCUAGUAACGGCGAGUGAAGAGGGAAGAGCCCAAGAUUGAAAGCUGGCGUCUUCGGCGUCCGCAUUGUAAUCUCAAGAAGUGUUUUCCGCUUCGGACCAUGCCUAAGUCCCUUGGAAAAGGGCAUCAUAGAGGGUGAUAAUCCCGUACAUGGCAUGGAGCGCCCGAAGCUUUGUGAUUACACAUUCUACGAGUCGAGUUGUUUGGGAAUGCAGCUCAAAAUGGGUGGUAAAUGCCAUCUAAGGCUAAAUAUUGGGGAGAGACCGAUAGCGAACAAGUACAGUGAUGGAAAGAUGAAAAGAACUUUGAAAAGAGAGUUAAACAGUACGUGAAAUUGCCAAAAGGGAAGGGUAGGAGGUCAGAGAUGCGUCUUGGAAUUCAGCCUUGCUUUUGCUUGGUGUUUUUUCCAAUUUGCAGGCCAACGUCGGUUUUGGGCACUGGAGAAGGGUAGGAGGAACGUAGCACCUCUCGGGGUGUGUUAUAGCCUCCUACUGGAUACAGCGACCGAGACCGAGGAUAGCAGCGUACUCGCAAGAGCGGGCCUUUGGGCACCUUUACGCUUAGGGCGUUGGCAUAAUGGCCCUCUACCACCCGUCUUGAAACACGGACCAAGGAGUCUAACAUGUAUGCGAGUCUUUGGGUGGCAAACCCAUAGGCGCAAUGAAAGUGAAUUCAGGUGGGAUCCGCAAGGUGCACCAUCGACCAAUCCUCACGUCUUUAGAUCGUGGAUUUGAGUAAGAGCAUACCUGUUGGGACCCGAAAGAUGGUGAACUAUGCCUGAAUAGGGUGAAGCCAGAGGAAACUCUGGUGGAGGCUCGUAGCGGUUCUGACGUGCAAAUCGAUCGUCAAAUUUGGGUAUAGGGGCGAAAGACUAAUCGAACCAUCUAGUAGCUGGUUCCUGCGA